This 101-nucleotide transfer RNA is filed under the name Candidatus Woesearchaeota archaeon. RNAcentral describes it as "tRNA-Gly". It matches the Rfam family "tRNA". From Rfam's summary of the family: Transfer RNA (tRNA) molecules are approximately 80 nucleotides in length. Their secondary structure includes four short double-helical elements and three loops (D, anti-codon, and T loops). The record is from RNAcentral. Lineage: Archaea; Nanobdellati; Candidatus Woesearchaeota.
ACGGCAGUAGUCUAAUGGUUAGGAUUUGAGCUUCCCAAGCUUGAGAUCCGGGUUCGAAACCUGGGAAAAAUCAGAGGGCAAAGAAAAUCCCGGCUGCCGUA